Molecule: ribosomal RNA, 301 nt
Filed under: uncultured bacterium
Lineage: Bacteria
Description: partial 16S ribosomal RNA
Rfam family: Bacterial small subunit ribosomal RNA
Source: RNAcentral
CAGUCGCCACGGUAAUACGUAGGGUGCAAGCGUUAAUCGGAAUUACUGGGCGUAAAGCGUGCGCAGGCGGCUAUGCAAGACAGAUGUGAAAUCCCCGGGCUCAACCUGGGAACUGCAUUUGUGACUGCAUGGCUAGAGUACGGUAGAGGGGGAUGGAAUUCCGCGUGUAGCAGUGAAAUGCGUAGAUAUGCGGAGGAACACCGAUGGCGAAGGCAAUCCCCUGGACCUGUACUGACGCUCAUGCACGAAAGCGUGGGGAGCAAACAGGAUUAGAUACCCCUGUAGUCCCUGUCUCUUAUAC